Medicago truncatula (barrel medic) is the source of this 200-nucleotide microRNA precursor. It matches the Rfam family "MIR2619 microRNA precursor family". NCBI's taxonomy places the organism in Eukaryota, Viridiplantae, Streptophyta, Magnoliopsida, Fabales, Fabaceae. The record is from Rfam.
AAACAACCCUCUAUGUAUUGGAUCUUUGAUAGUUUUGGCCCCAAAGACCGCUUUUGACUUAGUCUUCGCUGACGUGACAUCCACAAUGGUCGACACGUGGCACCUCACUUAAGGGAUGUGAGUGCCACGUCAGCAAAAACUAAGUCAAAAGUGGCAUUGGGGGCUAAAACUGUCAAAAAUCCAAUACAUAUGAGCUAUUU